This 253-nucleotide ribosomal RNA is filed under the name uncultured bacterium. RNAcentral's name for it is "partial 16S ribosomal RNA". It matches the Rfam family "Bacterial small subunit ribosomal RNA", at positions 524 to 776 of the family's 1533-position model. The record is from RNAcentral.
UACGUAGGGUCCGAGCGUUGUCCGGAAUUAUUGGGCGUAAAGAGCUCGUAGGCGGUUUGUCGCGUCUGCUGUGAAGACUGGAGGCUCAACCUCCAGCCUGCAGUGGGUACGGGCAGACUAGAGUGCGGUAGGGGAGAUUGGAAUUCCUGGUGUAGCGGUGGAAUGCGCAGAUAUCAGGAGGAACACCGAUGGCGAAGGCAGAUCUCUGGGCCGUAACUGACGCUGAGGCGCGAAAGCGUGGGGAGCGAACGGG